RNAcentral lists this ribosomal RNA (446 nucleotides) under uncultured bacterium. Its description in RNAcentral is "bacterial SSU rRNA". It matches the Rfam family "Bacterial small subunit ribosomal RNA", at positions 15 to 507 of the family's 1533-position model. The record is from RNAcentral.
GAUCCUGGCUACGAGAACGAACGCUGGCGGCAGGCCUAACACAUGCAAGUCGAGCGCCCCGCAAGGGGAGCGGCGGACGGGUGAGUAACACGUGGGAAUUUUCCUCAAGGUACGGAACAACUCAGGGAAACUUGGGCUAAUACCGUAUGAUGCAGAGAUGCCAAAGAUUUAUCGCCUUGGGAUAAGCCCGCGUCAGAUUAGGUAGUUGGUGGGGUAAUGGCCUACCAAGCCUGUGAUCUGUAGCUGGUCUGAGAGGACGAUCAGCCACAUUGGGACUGAGACACGGCCCAAACUCCUACGGGAGGCAGCAGUGGGGAAUCUUGCGCAAUGGACGAAAGUCUGACGCAGCCAUGCCGCGUGAAUGAUGAAGGUCUUAGGAUUGUAAAGUUCUUUAGCCUGUGACGAUGAUGACGGUAACAGGAGAAUAAGCCCCGGCUAACUUCGUG